AGGAUAAUAGUAGUUAAUUAUAACAUUUGGGUUGCAUUCAAAAAGUACUAAUAUUUAGUUUAUCUU
This 66-nucleotide transfer RNA is filed under the name Epilampra maya. RNAcentral describes it as "tRNA-Ala". Lineage: Eukaryota; Metazoa; Arthropoda; Insecta; Blattodea; Blaberidae. The record is from RNAcentral.